GUCCUGUUGAUUAUAAUUUAAGGUCGGACCUGCCCACUGAAGGAUUAAAUGGCCGCGGUAUAUUGACCGUGCAAAGGUAGCAUAAUCACUAGUUUUUUAAUUGAAAGCUUGUAUGAAAGGUUUGAUGAAAAAAGUUCUGUCUCUGUGAAAUUUUAUUAGAAUUUUAUUUUUAAGUUAAAAAGCUUAAAUUUAAAUAGAAGACGAGAAGACCCUGUAGAGUUUUAUUUUUAAGUAAGAUAUGUAUAUUUUUAGAAUUAACAGUUAUAAUUUUAUUUAUUUAUUUUAUUGGGGUGAUAGAAAAAUUUAAUAAACUUUUUUUGUACAAGAACAUUUAUAUAUGAAUAUAUGAUCCUAAAAUUGAGAUUAAAAGAUUAAAUUACCUUAGGGAUAACAGCGUAAUUUUUUUUAGAGUUCUUAUCGAAAGAAAAGAUUGCGACCUCGAUGUUGGAUUAAAAUUAAUUUUUGGUGUAGAAGCUAAUAUAUUAGGUCUGUUCGACCUUUAAAAUUUUACAUGAUCUGAGUUUAGACCGGCGUGAG
RNAcentral lists this ribosomal RNA (537 nucleotides) under Trigonopterus sp. 932 AR-2022a. RNAcentral describes it as "partial large subunit ribosomal RNA". It matches the Rfam family "Bacterial large subunit ribosomal RNA", at positions 1861 to 2625 of the family's 2925-position model. Lineage: Eukaryota; Metazoa; Arthropoda; Insecta; Coleoptera; Curculionidae. The record is from RNAcentral.